Long non-coding RNA from Pseudomyrmex gracilis, 499 nucleotides. RefSeq lists it as uncharacterized. The record is from RefSeq and is a predicted model, not a curated record. NCBI's taxonomy places the organism in Eukaryota, Metazoa, Arthropoda, Insecta, Hymenoptera, Formicidae. The transcript is spliced from 4 exons.
UCUUGUAAAGUGUUGGUCGGGACGGCUUGUGCAACAUGGACAUCCACGAUCAGCACUCAGCGACGUAUAAUAGCUAAGAUUUUUACAUGCAUUUGAUAAGGACCUAAUUAAAAGCCAAAAAAUUCAUUUGUUCAUUGAAUAAUUCCUGAAGCUACAUACACUCAUCUUUGUAAAGAAAAUUCAUUACUCUCUUCAAGACACAGGUUUGCUUCUUAUUGGCUAGUCCACCAUCUUUUUGAAGACAGUGGAAGGGGCAACUUGUAUUAUUUUCUUCUUACCAAAAAAUGACGAAAACGAUAUGUGACCCAGAGAACAACCAAAAUAAUAAUCAACCAAAUGACAAAUUUAAGUGCAGUAAAUGUGCUAUAGAAUUCAACUAUAAAAUGAAUUGGACCAACACAAUCUCUCUACUUGUACACAUACUAAAGACCCAGGACAAUAAAGCAUUUUUCUAGGUACAUUUUUUAACUAUUUUAAAUAAUAUUCAGUUUUAUAUUUU